Molecule: ribosomal RNA, 447 nt
Filed under: Triticum aestivum (bread wheat)
Lineage: Eukaryota; Viridiplantae; Streptophyta; Magnoliopsida; Poales; Poaceae
Description: partial small subunit ribosomal RNA
Source: RNAcentral
AUGGCGUGCUCUCCCUCUCCCCGGCUGCUCCACCGGGCGUCCUCCUCUUCUCCGUUGCUCUCGGUCGGGCAUGUGCGCUCGGCUCCGUCCUCCACGUUCGGAUGGACCAUCCAAUGCAAGCAAUCCGGACAUAUAUUGUAUGGAAGAAGCCAUGUGACAAGCUUCCUGGCUCUUGCUAGUGCAGAUGCACCACAAGGCAAAGGAAGUUCAGGUCAGAAAGUGAUAAUGGUUGAUCCACAGGAAGCUAAGCGCUUAGCAGUGAAACAAAUGCAAGAAAUUCGUGCCAGAGAUAAGCUGAAGAAACGUCAUCAAGCAGAAGCUAUUAACGGCGCAUUGGCGGUGAUAGGAUUGACUGCUGCAUUGGUAUUGGAAGGUCAGACAGGAAAGGGUAUCUUGGGGCAGCUAGCAGGAUAUCUGGCGGCUUUAUCUAGUUUAUUUGGGCAAUAA